UAUAAAACGGCGGCAGAAAACCUGAACAGAGUUACUCGCACAGUGCGACAUGGCGAAGCUACUACACGUCUGCCUGCUGCUGCUGGUUGCCUCCCUGCUCUGCGAACGGACGUUCGCGUGCGCCGAGGGCGAGCGCAGGUACGAUGGCUGUAACUGGUGCACUUGCGUCAGAGGCGGCUGGGUCUGCACCGCGAAGUUCUGUGGCCGCUCCGCCGCCGAGGGCGGCGGUGACACUCCAUUGGUGUAAGCGUUAUCUCGCGCCCAGAUCAGCUCUCCACAAAGCUUCAUUUGCGAUGCGUUCUGCUGUUUCAGAAAUGAUAAAAUAUUAAUGUGUACCUAACAAAUGGCUAAGAAUAAAAUCUGAUGUACUCAGUUUUGUUCCAGAUUAAUU
Schistocerca gregaria is the source of this 391-nucleotide long non-coding RNA. RefSeq lists it as uncharacterized. The record is from RefSeq and is a predicted model, not a curated record. NCBI's taxonomy places the organism in Eukaryota, Metazoa, Arthropoda, Insecta, Orthoptera, Acrididae. The transcript is spliced from 3 exons.